Molecule: long non-coding RNA, 1287 nt
Filed under: Pandoravirus celtis
Description: hypothetical ncRNA
Source: RNAcentral
CGAGGCCUCGACGCUGUCGGUCGGGUUGGCCUUUAAAAACUUGUCCUGCCACGAGCGAAAGACGUAUUUGCCAUCGUCCAGACGGAUGGACGCCCAACGCUCCCAGGCCUGUGCGGUGACGGCGUUGGCCGACACGCCGUCAUAACUGUGCGCCGUCAAAUACUUGCCACUAACAGACGACCGCAGGGCGACAAUGGGCGCCACCGGGUGCGUGUACUCGACGAUCACGCCGCCGGCGCCGCCGGGACUGUCGGCAUAGUAGCGGUACGGCGGGCACACAUAGGCCGAACCGCCGCCGGCGCCGCUGUUGGUCCCCGGAUGCUGCUCGAAUCGGGUCUGGCCCGCGCCUCCGUUGCCGCCAAAUCCGGCGGCGCCGCCCCAUGAGGCACAUGCCACGGUGGUGGUGCCCGACCCGCCGGUCCACGAGCGACCGGGCGAGGUCCAGUCGGCGCCAACGAUAAAUGCACUGCCGCCAUGGCCGGCACCGGCUCCGCCUGCCUUGAUAUCGCCAAUCAUGGCGCCCUGCAGCGGCUGUGCCGAGGCGCUGUUGUCGGCGGCGCCCGGUGGGUUGCCGCCUCCCGGCAGCGGACCCACGGCAGACGAGUUGGCACCGCCGCCACCGCCGCCACGGCAUGCCGUCGCACUUUCGGCGCUUGCUCCGCCGCCGCCAUAGGCCGUUGCACGAAAGAGCACUGUGCCAUUGGGCGCCCGCGCCACCACGUGGGUCGCGCCGCCGUCGCCACCUCGAUUCAGACCCUCGGGAUCGGUCUCGGGGUUGCCGGCGCCACCGUGCCCUAUCUCAAUCUCCCACUGGAUCUGGUUCGAGGACAGGCCCCACGCGGCAUCGCCCGCCGGACGGUUGACGAUGGCCGCGCCGCUGCCGCCGCCGGCGCCGCAUUGAGCGUUGGCCGCUGCGCCGCCGCCACCGCCCCAAAGGGUGAGAGCAAUGUUGGUGGCGUUGGCCGGCGGCGACCACGUCUGCGACGAGGUCAGAAAGACGCUUUGUCGAUGACCGUGGAUGGGCGUGGCGGCGCAUGCCAACAAUAGGGCGAGCACUAGCAGCACAGAGGCGGUCAUGGUGGCCGAUGUCAUUGCAACGACCGUGCGCGUCAGUCGAGGCUGUCUGGUCGGUCGGCGGUGGUUGAGGGUUGUCUCUUUUCCUUGUUUUUUUGGCGGGAGAGGACACGGCCAGCCUUUUUGCCUUUUUGUACUGUUCUAUUCUUGCCCGUGGCCAGUAUCGCGCUUUUCCCACCGCUGCCAAGAAUACAUAGGGCUCGCCAAUCGUCG